UAAGGGGAUUAGUGGCGAACGGGUGAGUAAUAUAUCGGAACGUGCCUUGUAAUGGGGGAUAACUAGUCGAAAGAUUAGCUAAUACCGCAUACGCCCUGAGGGGGAAAGUAGGGGAUCUUCGGACCUUACGUUAUAAGAGCGGCCGAUAUCUGAUUAGCUAGUUGGUGGGGUAAUGGCCUACCAAGGCAUCGAUCAGUAGCUGGUCUGAAAGGACGACCAGCCACACUGGAACUGAGACACGGUCCAGACUCCUACGGGAGGCAGCAGUGGGGAAUUUUGGACAAUGGGCGCAAGCCUGAUCCAGCCAUUCCGCGUGAGUGAAGAAGGCCUUCGGGUUGUAAAGCUCUUUCGCAAGGGAAGAAAACUUACAUUCUAAUAAAGUGUGAGGCUGACGGUACCUUGAUAAGAAGCACCGGCUAACUACGUGCCAGCAGCCGCGGUAAUACGUAGGGUGCGAGCGUUAAUCGGAAUUACUGGGCGUAAAGCGUGCGCAGGCGGUUUGGCAAGUCAGAUGUGAAAUCCCCGAGCUCAACUUGGGAACUGCGUUUGAAACUGCCAGACUAGAAUAUGUCAGAGGGGGGUAGAAUUCCACGUGUAGCAGUGAAAUGCGUAGAGAUGUGGAGGAAUACCAAUGGCGAAGGCAGCCCCCUGGGAUAAUAUUGACGCUCAUGCACGAAAGCGUGGGGAGCAAACAGGAUUAGAUACCCUGGUAGUCCACGCCCUAAACGAUGUCUACUAGUUGUUGGUGGAGUAAAAUCCAUGAGUAACGCAGCUAACGCGUGAAGUAGACCGCCUGGGGA
This 800-nucleotide ribosomal RNA is filed under the name uncultured beta proteobacterium. RNAcentral's name for it is "bacterial SSU rRNA". It matches the Rfam family "Bacterial small subunit ribosomal RNA", at positions 84 to 879 of the family's 1533-position model. The record is from RNAcentral. Lineage: Bacteria; Pseudomonadati; Pseudomonadota; Betaproteobacteria.